AGGAUAAACGCUGGCGGCGUGCCUAACACAUGCAAGUCGAACGUCCUACGCAAGUAGGGAGUGGCGGACGGGUGAGUAACACGUGGGCAAUCUACCUUUCGGUGAGGAAUACCGGCGAGAAAUCGCCGACAAAUACCGCAUACGUUUCGCAAGAAACAAAGUCGCAAGACGCCGGAGGAGGAGCCUGCGCCCGAUUAGCUGGUUGGUGAGGUAACAGCUCACCAAGGCUUCGAUCGGUAGC
Molecule: ribosomal RNA, 241 nt
Filed under: uncultured bacterium
Lineage: Bacteria
Description: partial small subunit ribosomal RNA
Rfam family: Bacterial small subunit ribosomal RNA
Source: RNAcentral